Long non-coding RNA from Echinops telfairi (small Madagascar hedgehog), 760 nucleotides. RefSeq lists it as uncharacterized. Lineage: Eukaryota; Metazoa; Chordata; Mammalia; Afrosoricida; Tenrecidae. The record is from RefSeq and is a predicted model, not a curated record. The transcript is spliced from 2 exons.
UUUCCGGGACUGUGACGGGGAAGGCGGAGCGCUGGAGCGGCUGAUGGACGACGUCCAGGCGGAUGGCCUCACUGGGCUGUUUGUGGAGAGGCCCGUCGGGGGGCAGUGGGUACUCUCGCCUGGCUGCUUCCUGUUUUUGUGGAGAGGGCUGCCCAGGUUUCUUACACGUGGACACCAGACGCACAGCUGUUGAACAUACUUCUCUUCUCAACAGUCUAUUUUAGAGGUAAGGAGACUGAGGCUCAGAGUGGUUAGGCAACCUGCUCUGAGUUCACCAGCUAGCGAGCAGCAGAGCCAGAACACCCCCAACAGGCUGCUCCGAAGGACUCAACGCUCCUGAGGAAUGACUGAGGGCCCUGUUUCCACCCCGCACAGCGCUGCUCCCUACCUGCAAGAGCUCUGCGGCGGCGUCUGCUAGCCCAAACUCCCUCAACACGCGGAUCUGGAUCUCGUAGCUGACGGUGGCGCCCUCCCCGCAGUUCAGUGCGUAGGCCCGCUGCACCUGCUCGGUGUGCCGGAGCUCCUGCAGGCGCCUGACCAUGUCCUUCAUCGUGAGCAGCCGAGGGACUACACGGAGCCAGCCAGAGCAGGCAAGACACAGACGUUACACAAGCCCACCCGAGAGCACAGAACAGUUUUAACUAGCAUGUGUUUCGCAUCAGAAUCGCUUACAAUAAUUAUGAAAGUAUUUUAAUUUCUUGGCAACUUGAUAAUUUGUGUGCAUCUGAUUAAAAAAUAAAUUAUUAUGUUGUUGACAAUA